UAAGUAGGCGGUGGAAAAUGAACCAAAUGGGAUUCCUUAAGUAAUUGCGAAUGAACAAGGAACUGCUCAGCUUKAAAAUUGGGGCCUUCGGCCUUGAAUUGUAAUUUUGAAAUGUAUUGCCAAUGGAGGCGCAGGUGCAAGCCUAUUGAAAGAAAGCGUCAAUGAGGGUGAGAUUCCUUUUUGUCAUUUGCAGUCCUCCGUGCACGGUAUAUAUUUGACGAGUCACACUCCUUGGCAUUGGAAUGCAAAGUGGGUGGUAAAUUCCAUGUAAAGGAAAAUAUAUUAUUGAGACUGAUAGCAMACAAGUACCAUGAGGGAAAUAUGAAAAGGACUUUGAAAAGAGAAUUAAAAGAGUCUGCAUUUGCUGAACAGAAAGCAAACAGAAUUGAUCUACUUGGUGAGAUUGUUGCGUCCACUUGUGGGUGCAAUGGUUCUUGCCUUGAAUGUCAGCGUCUAUUUCUGCAAAUUAUUACCCUUGCAUAUGAAUUGUAAUUUGCCUGUGGGCAUUGGAAUGCAUGUGUUUGCAAUGAUUUGUGAUUUGAUACAUGUGUCUGGUGUUCGCGUGUGUGCCUUCUUGCUAACACGGGGAGGGCUCUCCUCCCUGGGCACUGCAUGCCCUUGCAC
RNAcentral lists this ribosomal RNA (624 nucleotides) under Alexandrium ostenfeldii. Its description in RNAcentral is "LSU rRNA". It matches the Rfam family "Eukaryotic large subunit ribosomal RNA", at positions 43 to 620 of the family's 3401-position model. The record is from RNAcentral. Lineage: Eukaryota; Dinophyceae; Gonyaulacales; Pyrocystaceae.